CCUACGGGCGGCAGCAGUGGGGGAUAUUGCACAAUGGGGGAAACCCUGAUGCAGCGACGCCGCGUGAGUGAAGAAGUAUUUCGGUGUGUAAAGCUCUAUCAGCAGGGAAGAAAAUGACAGUACCUGACCAAGAAGCCCCGGCUAACUACGGGCCAGCAGCCGCGGUAAUACGUAGGGGGCCAGCGUUAUCCGGAUUUAUUGGGUUUAAAGGGUGCGUAGGCUGUGCGGUAAGUCAGCGGUGAAAUGCCCCCGCUCAACGGGGUGAAGUGCCAUUGAUACUGACUUGCUGGAAUGCGGAUGUCGUGGGAGGAAUGUGUGGUGUAGCGGUGAAAUGCAUAGAUAUCACACAGAACACCGAUUGCGAAGGCAUCUAACGAAUCUGCGAUUGACGCUGAUGCACGAAAGCGUGGGUAUCAAACAGGAUUAGAUACCCGAGUAGUC
Molecule: ribosomal RNA, 441 nt
Filed under: uncultured bacterium
Lineage: Bacteria
Description: partial 16S ribosomal RNA
Rfam family: Bacterial small subunit ribosomal RNA
Source: RNAcentral